Leptidea sinapis is the source of this 628-nucleotide long non-coding RNA. RefSeq lists it as uncharacterized. Lineage: Eukaryota; Metazoa; Arthropoda; Insecta; Lepidoptera; Pieridae. The record is from RefSeq and is a predicted model, not a curated record. The transcript has 4 exons.
CAGUGACAUGUUUUUGUUUACUUUUAGAAAAUUGUAUAUAAUUUAUAAAAAAAUGUAAUACACUAUCGAAGUAAAAACUCGCUGAAAAGAUAAAUGCUCCAGAAUAAUUUAUACAGAUUCCUUAAAAUACUAAGAUUGCAGCCUAUUAUUUUUUACAUCGGAUUGCUGUUAAAAUCUCAAAUUUAUUACCUAACCUAAAAAUGAAUGAAGAAAAAGUGGACUUCUUAUUUAGAGCAGCGUCUGUUUUUUCACAAUCUAACAAUAAAAUACACGAUAUAUUAAGAAGCCAUUAUUUUUUACGAUGCAAAACUCUUAUCAAGGAAGGUGAAGCAUCCGAAAAACGAAUAAGAUGCGGACAUUGUCGUUUAGAAUGGAAGAGCCGUUUAUGCCGUGUCAAGUCAACAAAGUCAAGCAAGAAUAAAAGACGAAGGAACAGGUCCGAUCCGGAUAAGAAUACUAAUAUGUAUAAUAAAGACCUAGAAAGGACCUGUGCCUUCUGUGGACAUAUCACAAAAAUUCCCAUUCAUAGAGUUAACCAAAAAAAUAAUCUGGAGCCUCCUCCAACCUUGAUUAAGGAGCUUAAACCCAAAGUAUUAAAAACACAAGAGGCAGGAAAAGUUAUUGAUGU